Magnolia sinica is the source of this 425-nucleotide long non-coding RNA. RefSeq lists it as uncharacterized. The record is from RefSeq and is a predicted model, not a curated record. The transcript is spliced from 3 exons. Lineage: Eukaryota; Viridiplantae; Streptophyta; Magnoliopsida; Magnoliales; Magnoliaceae.
GGAUCUCAAGCUGUUUUUUCUGUUUUGAUCAAUUUGUAAAGGCUUCAAAGAAGUUUGCAGAGGCAUGGGUUUGAUGUUAUCACCGUCAUCGCUGCAAAUGUGAGGACCACAUGCAAGGAAUUAUUAGGAUCAAUGGGGUUAAUGAGUCCUAACGUAAUGGAACAACAUGCUUCUAUAAGUUCUUUAACGACCUUGAUGUCUAUACUAUUGAAGGAUACCUUUUUGGAGUUUGAGAAGCAUUUAAAUGGACUUCCGGACCGGAACUUACAUGAUGCACUUUCGAAAAAUGACAUAAAGGUGAAAACACUAUUUAUUGUUGGAUUUCAAAAAUGAUAUUUGAAAGCAUACGUUCUCCUUUUUUUUUUUGGCCGAUAAGAAAACAUAUAAUCUUCACUUGUAUUGGAAGCCUGCUUCUUCUUUGCUUC